This 470-nucleotide ribosomal RNA is filed under the name uncultured organism. Its description in RNAcentral is "partial 16S ribosomal RNA". It matches the Rfam family "Bacterial small subunit ribosomal RNA", at positions 335 to 797 of the family's 1533-position model. The record is from RNAcentral.
ACUCCUACGGGAGGCAGCAGUGGGGAAUAUUGCACAAUGGGCGCAAGCCUGAUGCAGACAUGCCGCGUGUAUGAAGAAGGCCUUCGGGUUGUAAAGUACUUUCAGCGGGGAGGAAGGCGAUAAGGUUAAUAACCUUGUCGAUUGACGUUACCCGCAGAAGAAGCACCGGCUAACUCCGUGCCAGCAGCCGCGGUAAUACGGAGGGUGCAAGCGUUAAUCGGAAUUACUGGGCGUAAAGCGCACGCAGGCGGUCUGUCAAGUCGGAUGUGAAAUCCCCGGGCUCAACCUGGGAACUGCAUUCGAAACUGGCAGGCUAGAGUCUUGUAGAGGGGGGUAGAAUUCCAGGUGUAGCGGUGAAAUGCGUAGAGAUCUGGAGGAAUACCGGUGGCGAAGGCGGCCCCCUGGACAAAGACUGACGCUCAGGUGCGAAAGCGUGGGGAGCAAACAGGAUUAGAUACCCGUGUAGUCCC